Molecule: ribosomal RNA, 301 nt
Filed under: uncultured bacterium
Lineage: Bacteria
Description: partial 16S ribosomal RNA
Rfam family: Bacterial small subunit ribosomal RNA
Source: RNAcentral
CAGCGCCACGGUAACACGUAGGGUGCAAGCGUUAAUCGGAAUUACUGGGCGUAAAGCGUGCGCAGGCGGUUAUAUAAGACAGAUGUGAAAUCCCCGGGCUCAACCUGGGAACUGCAUUUGUGACUGUAUAGCUAGAGUACGGCAGAGGGGGAUGGAAUUCCGCGUGUAGCAGUGAAAUGCGUAGAUAUGCGGAGGAACACCGAUGGCGAAGGCAAUCCCCUGGGCCUGUACUGACGCUCAUGCACGAAAGCGUGGGGAGCAAACAGGAUUAGAUACCCGUGUAGUCCCUGUCUCUUAUACA